AUGAAGGCCCUGUUUUGGAACAUUAGAGGGUUCUGCGCUAGGGGGCGCAGAGACCAACUGAAGGACUUAAUGCGCGCUGAAAGAAUUGAUUUUAUCGGGCUUGUUGAGACUCUUAAACCCUCCUUUUCUCCUUCUGAACUAUUGGCGAUUGCUGGGAUUGAUAGAUUUAGGUGGAAUUUCGUGGCCUCUGUUGGUCAGUCCGGCGGCUUUCUUCUGGGCACCAAUAAUGUCACCUUUGAUUUUGUGGCUUUCGACCAUGGUAUAUACUGGGCUAGUAUGGUAGUUUCCCUACGUUCCAAUAAUACCCUCCUUGAACUUAUGGUAGUAUAUAGUCCAGUUGAUCAUUCCUUGUCACAAAUUUUCUUGGAUGAGAUUUUUACUAAAAUUGAUGCCCGCCAACUGCCACUCCUGAUUGGGAGUGAUUUUAAUCUGCUUCGGUAUCCUUCUAAUAAGAGUUCUGUCAAUUUCUCCUGGGUGCUGGCCGAGGCUUUUAAUGCUUUCAUCAGGGACACGACUAUCCGUGAGAUCCCGAGGGUUGGGGCCCGCUACACUUGGACCAACCGACAGACUUGUCCUAUUCGCUCGGUUCUUGAUAGAGUUUUUAUCUGCCCUGCUUGGGAUGGCCUUUUUCCUCGCUGCUCACUUCGGGCCCUCCCCAUCGUCGGGUCCGAUCACGCUCCUCUCAUCCUUGACGAUGGUCUCUGCCCCAAUGGCUGCCAAAGAUUUCAAUUUGACGCGUCCUGGCUUUUAGUGGAAGGGUUCCCUGAUAUGCUGGCUCAGAAGAUCUUGGGCUUUCUUACCUCCCCCCAUCGUUCAUUUGGCCCUAUGGAUGACUGGCAUUAUGUUUCUUACUCCCUACGCAAGUUCCUUAGAGGAUGGGCCAAGAACCACUUUGCUGAGUCGAGGCGCGACAAAUCUAGGUUGAGUGCUCAAAUUAGUGCCCUCGACUCCCGUGCGGACAACGGUGGGCUCUCGGCUACUGAGUGGCAAGUUCGCUAUGGCCUUGAGAAGGAGCUUCUGGCUAUUCAUCGCCAAGAGGAAGUGUAUUGGAAGCAAAGGGGUAUGAUUAAUUGGACUCUUAAGGGUGAUUCUCCCACGGCUUACUUUUUCGCCAUUGCGAAUGGCAGACGGCGUAGAUGUUUGAUUAACAGCCUCAUUAUUGAUGGUGUUAGGGUCUCUGAACCGCCGGUCAUUCUCCGUCAUGUAGUUCGGUUCUUCUCUAACCUGCUUUCGGCUAAACCAGACCUCGGAUUCGCGCUAGCCCCGGGCUUCUGGCUCCCAUUGAUAGGAUUUCUCACGCUGAUAAUGAGCUUCUGUUGA
This 1320-nucleotide ribosomal RNA is filed under the name Triticum aestivum (bread wheat). RNAcentral describes it as "partial small subunit ribosomal RNA". The record is from RNAcentral. Lineage: Eukaryota; Viridiplantae; Streptophyta; Magnoliopsida; Poales; Poaceae.